GAUAAACGCUGGCGGCGUGCAUGAGACAUGCAAGUCGAACGAAGGAUCGGGCUUGCUCGAUCCUUAGUGGCGGACGGCUGAGUAACGCGUAGGUGACCUACCCCGAAGUGGGGAAUAACUGCCCGAAAGGGUGGCUAAUACCGCAUGUGGUCGCACGUUCAUUCGUGCGAGUAAAGCCGCAAGGCGCUUCGGGAGGGGCCUGCGUCCGAUUAGCUCGUUGGUGGGGUAAUGGCUUACCAAGGCGACGAUCGGUAGGUGGUCUGAGAGGACGAUCACCCAGACUGGGACUGAGACACGGCCCAGACUCCUACGGGAAGCAGCAGUCGGGAAUUUUGCUCAAUGGGGGAAACCCUGAAGCAGCAACGCCGCGUGAGGGAUGAAGGCCUUCGGGUUGUAAACCUCUUUUGUCAGGGACGAUGAUAACGGUACCUGGCGAAUAAGCCACGGCUAACUACGUG
RNAcentral lists this ribosomal RNA (458 nucleotides) under uncultured bacterium. RNAcentral describes it as "partial 16S ribosomal RNA". It matches the Rfam family "Bacterial small subunit ribosomal RNA", at positions 28 to 507 of the family's 1533-position model. The record is from RNAcentral.